CCUGUCAGUGGGGGGGGUGAAGAAGGCCAAGGUGGAGAGCUGGGAGAGAAGUGUGGGGGGGCUGGGAGGUGGAGGGGCACUGGGAUCACUGGUGGUGAGAAAGAAACCAGCGACCUCUGUCCCUAAACCUGAUACCACAGUAACUCCUGCAGGCUCUAACACACAGACAGUUUCAAAGGCAGCUGCUAUCGUACCGAUGGAGGCUACUAAGCCAAUCACAGCACAGAAUGGGUCGUCGUCGCUCAGCCUCCUGGGGGCCUAUUCCGACAGUGAUGACAGCAACAACAGUGAAUGAGAGAAAGGCUGGCGACGCUUUGGCUAAUCAAAAUGCUCAGUCUGUCUGAACUUCGUGAUAUGGAAUUGUGUUGAUAUGAUGUUGGGCAAUUCACCUGUUCCACACAACCCAGAACGGUUUGGGAUUUUCAAGAUCACAACACAAGGAUGGUUAUUAGGUGUAAGAAAGGGGUAAGCAAUUUGAUGCCUGUGAUUUAAAACUACUGUAUUUGUUUCAGGGUAUAUAGGAGAGUUAAAGGGCUGAAUUGUAUCAUCCUGCUUUGUGACCCUUACCCCCAAUGUAAUUAGUUUUCACCUGUGAUUUUAGAAAAUACAUUUUGAAAUGUCCAUCUACCAACUACCCUCCUCCAACUUUGUAAAGGUGUAUGUCAUGUUUUGACUUUUCAUUAAAUACAUAUUUUACCCUAAA
This is a long non-coding RNA of Salvelinus sp. IW2-2015, 703 nucleotides long. RefSeq lists it as uncharacterized. Lineage: Eukaryota; Metazoa; Chordata; Actinopteri; Salmoniformes; Salmonidae. The record is from RefSeq and is a predicted model, not a curated record.